CCUUGGCCCCUGUUGCGAUCCCAACCACCAUCUUCAUACUCGGCAACAAAUCCAUUUCCUCUACCCCUUGCCCUCCCUCUACCACCGCGACCCUUACCUCGGCCAUUUGGUGAGCCCUCUCUUUCAUAAUCAAAUUCUGGUGAUCCCUUCACCAGUUCUGCAGGUAAAGGAGGCUGGUACCCAGCAGCAGAUUUAUCAAGCUCCUUCUUGGAAAGGGUAACUGUAACCAUUGAAACAUGCCUUGUGGUUUCCAAAGGAAGUAGGCCUUCCUCAAGAGGCUCCCAUGUAUCAGUUAUGUCCGUGGAUCCAAUUGUUGUGAUCUGAUGAAGGCCAACAAUUCUUCUCUUGAUUAACUCCACUAUAGUCACAGUUUUGUUGAUGGCUCUUCCCAUUGCUUUGAAUACAAUUUCAUUCGACCCUUUUUCUUGAAGCAGACUCAUGGCAUAUGAGAUGUAACUGCGCAUCCUUCCCAGACUAGUAAUGCGAAUCUCAUUCUCGUCAAUUGUUAUAUCCGCUUUGGGCUUCUCCACUCUCUGGUAUCGAUCCAUCUUAAAGAUUCGUAGAUAAGUUUGCUCGGCCAAGACAAAGCACUCUUCUCCGGCUUCGUUUUUUCUUUU
This 617-nucleotide unclassified non-coding RNA is filed under the name Hevea brasiliensis (rubber tree). The record is from RNAcentral. Lineage: Eukaryota; Viridiplantae; Streptophyta; Magnoliopsida; Malpighiales; Euphorbiaceae.